GCAAGUCGAGCGCACCUUCGGGUGAGCGGCGGACGGGUGAGUAAUGCAUGGGAAUCUGCCCAGUAGAGGGGGACAACAGUCGGAAACGACUGCUAAUACCGCAUACGCCCUACGGGGGAAAGGCCGGGAUCUUCGGACCGGUCGCUAUUGGAUGAGCCCAUGUCGGAUUAGCUUGUUGGUGAGGUAAGAGCUCACCAAGGCGACGAUCCGUAGCUGGUCUGAGAGGAUGAUC
RNAcentral lists this ribosomal RNA (232 nucleotides) under uncultured bacterium. RNAcentral describes it as "partial 16S ribosomal RNA". It matches the Rfam family "Bacterial small subunit ribosomal RNA", at positions 57 to 305 of the family's 1533-position model. The record is from RNAcentral.